CUCGCAAACAGUGGGCACCAGUUUAUUUUCGUGGCACUUUCUUUGCUGCACUUUCUUCAAACCAAGGGGUCAGCUCUUUUUUUGAUGGGUAUGUAAAUCAACAAACCACAAUACCUCUGUUUUUUAAGCAGUAUGAAAGAGCUCUUGAGCAUUCUCUAGAAAAAGAAAUAGAAGCAGAUUAUGAUACAAUUUGCACCACUCCAGUGCUUAAGACGCCAUCACCAAUGGAACAACAGGCAGCAAACCUCUAUACCAAGAAAGUGUUUGCAA
RNAcentral lists this unclassified non-coding RNA (270 nucleotides) under Hevea brasiliensis (rubber tree). The record is from RNAcentral. Lineage: Eukaryota; Viridiplantae; Streptophyta; Magnoliopsida; Malpighiales; Euphorbiaceae.